RNAcentral lists this ribosomal RNA (415 nucleotides) under uncultured soil bacterium. RNAcentral's name for it is "bacterial SSU rRNA". It matches the Rfam family "Bacterial small subunit ribosomal RNA", at positions 26 to 436 of the family's 1533-position model. The record is from RNAcentral.
AGGACGAACGCUGGCGGCGCGCUUAAUACAUGCAAGUCGAGCGAGAACCGGACCUUCGGGUCCGGGAAAGCGGCGAACGGGUGAGUAACACGUGGGUAAUCUGCCCUCGGUACUGGGAUAGCCCGGGGAAACCCGGAUUAAUACCGGAUAGCCUUUCGAGCUCUCGGGCUCGUUAGAAAAUGGUGGCUUCGGCUUCCGACUGAGGAUGAGCCCGCGGCGGAUUAGCUUGUUGGUGAGGUAAUGGCUCACCAAGGCUCCGAUCCGUAGCUGGUCUGAGAGGACGAUCAGCCACACUGGGACUGAGACACGGCCCAGACUCCUACGGGAGCAGCAGUAGGGAAUCUUGCGCAAUGGGCGAAAGCCUGACGCAGCGACGCCGCGUGCGGGAAGAAGGCCUUCGGGUGUAAACCGCUUA